Molecule: transfer RNA, 78 nt
Filed under: Acidobacteriota bacterium
Lineage: Bacteria; Pseudomonadati; Acidobacteriota
Description: tRNA-Arg
Rfam family: tRNA
About the family: Transfer RNA (tRNA) molecules are approximately 80 nucleotides in length. Their secondary structure includes four short double-helical elements and three loops (D, anti-codon, and T loops).
Source: RNAcentral
GGCUUCGUAGUUCAAUGGAUUUAGAACACAGGUCUUCUAAACCUGAAGUUGCGAGUUCGAGUCUCGCCGAAGCCUCCA